RNAcentral lists this non-coding RNA (83 nucleotides) under Evansella cellulosilytica. RNAcentral describes it as "Bacillus cellulosilyticus c-di-GMP-II sequence". It matches the Rfam family "Cyclic di-GMP-II riboswitch aptamer". The record is from RNAcentral. Lineage: Bacteria; Bacillati; Bacillota; Bacilli; Caryophanales; Bacillaceae.
UUAUAUUAAGGAGCGAUGAAAAAUGAUCUACAUGUGGGCACUUGGAUCAUUAGGAGCGAGUAGUGCAACCGGACUUUAUAUAU